GGGAGAGGAAGGGGAGAGGAGGGUGAAGUGAGGGGGGCGGCCUGAGGGGCCGUCUGCUCCCCCACAGGAAACCGCUGGGGAGGCGGGUGCCAGGCAAUAGGCUAAAUCCUUUACAAUAUUUUUUUUUUCAUUUAAUCCUAACCCUAUAGCGUGGGGACCAUUAUCCUGGAUAAGUCAGAUGAGUCAUGGAGAGACUAAAUAGCUUUACCCCCAUGGUCAGGAUUUGAACCCACAGUUCUCUGACCCCGGGCUCUUAACCCCUUCCCUAAACCUUGCUCUUCCUCCCCGGAGGCCCCCUCACCCAGGGGAGACUGCCCCUUUCCCCAGUUCAGAUGCCAGACCUCUCCCAGACGCUCUGCCACAAUGUCCAGGGCCCGGGCUCUCCACCCCUCUUCUCAGAGCCCCCUCCACGAGUGUGUCCAGCUGGCCCAGCUCUGGUCGUGCAGGAUUAAUGAAUGUUGGACUAUGGCAUCAAGCCAGACCCAGGCCAGCCUUGCAGAGCCCAGCCCAGGGCUUCUGCUGGCCCCUGUGCCCUUCUGCCACCAGAGCACAGGGCAGAGGUGUGUUUGGCUCUGGGCUAAACCUGCUGGUGCAUGUGCAUGCAUUUCCACCCAGGCUCGGGGCUCGUGCCUGCAACAUGUGUGUGAUCAGCAUGCGGCCAGGUCUUCUUCCUGCCCAGACUCCCAGGCCCCCCCUUUCAGGCCCCCCUUCCUGUGCUGGGCCUGGGGUGAGGGGGAGGCCUUCUUGGCAGGAGCCUUAGAGAGGAGGAGGGAAGGAAGGGGGGAGAGGAAAUUGCAGACAUAGCUGAAGGCACAGCCUGAGGCCUUGGGGCCAGUGACCCCCCUUUCUGUCCAGGCUGGAGACCCCCGCUCCCAGUCCUGAGUCUGGGUUCAAGCAGAGGGCAGAUCUGGUUGGGAAAAGAACUAGGAUGACUACCAUGGGGGAGGGGAGAGGGGCUUUUGGUGUCUCUGUGACUGUUUAGUCUGUUCUAUGAGUGUGUGUGGAGGUAUGUCUGCCUAUGUUUGUAUAUCUGUGUCUAUUUUCGUGUUGUAUCUGCCUGAGCACUUUUGUGGGGUUGAGUAUGUCUGUGUAUCAGUCCAUUCAGCCGCUGGUCAACAAACGCUAAUUGGUCUGCUUAGCGCUUCCUAGUAAUGGGCUUCAGCAGUAAACAGCAAGGACGCAAAUCUUGGCUCUCGUGGAGCUGCCACUAAGGCGGAGAGACAGACAAUACGCAGGGAAGAUGGUCGUGGGUGCUGCUGAGUGCUCAGAGGGCGAUGGAGUGGGGCGGUGGGGUGAAGAACACCUGGGGCAGCUCUCGCACAUGACAUGGGGAGAGGCUUGAAUCCUGAAGAAGGGGCAGCUGAGCUGAGGUCUGCAGGAGGGUGUCGGGCAGGAAAAAGGCUGAGGGCCCCCGAGGUAGGGGUGUCUGGCCUCACCUGGCUCCUGGGGUCACAAGGGAGGGUGAGGGGGUGAUUGUGAAGGGGCUGGCAGGCCUGAGGAGGCGCUUGGAUGUUAUUGCAAGUGUG
This is a long non-coding RNA of Bos taurus (domestic cattle), 1526 nucleotides long. Lineage: Eukaryota; Metazoa; Chordata; Mammalia; Artiodactyla; Bovidae. The record is from Ensembl.